AGCGAAAAAGCGAACAUAGAGAAUGUUGUUACUUGAACCAGGUAAGAGGAAAUGAAAGCAUUAUUGGGUUUCAAAUUAAAGAAGUAAACAUAUAUCUAUCGAAUAUAUACAAAUCAAAAUAGCAACAAAGAAAAAGAAAUUGAAGUUAGUAACUCAAGCCAGAUAUCAAUCAGACAAAGAUCAUGUCAAUAGAUUAAAAAGACCCAGAUCUGAAAUAGAAACGGAGCCACCCAUAACACGGCACAAAUCAAAUGUGUAACCAAAAUACACAACGAUUUAAUAAAAAAACAGUGGCAUAACUUCAUAAAGUGAGGCUUACAAGUAAAGUAGAACUUGUUAGGAGGAUCAAGCCUGAGUCUUCUAGUAGGCAAUAACAAUUUGACAACAAAAAUUUAUUUAAGAAUUUCAACCCCAAAGGACGGCGGAGCAGCCGGGGGACAACAGCGAACGACAAGGGACAGCCGUCCGGUAGAAAAUGGUGAUUUUCUUUUUCUUUUUGUUUUUGUUUUUCCUUUUUGUUAAGAGGGGAGGGUGGGCGGCUGCAUUUUUUCAGACCGGAUGUACAUAGUGGAGUGAAAACCUAAGCCUUAUGGACAAAGU
Molecule: long non-coding RNA, 600 nt
Filed under: Ricinus communis (castor bean)
Lineage: Eukaryota; Viridiplantae; Streptophyta; Magnoliopsida; Malpighiales; Euphorbiaceae
Description: long non-coding RNA (RCOM_LNC002681)
Source: RNAcentral